GGAAAUUGGAAUAUAUUUUACUUUUUGGUGGAAAAUCAAUCAUGUCGAUGUCUGAUUCCGAUACAUCGUCGCAGGGAAGCGAUUACAAGAACUUCCGGCAAGUUAUACGUGACAGAUUACUAUAUGAAAUGCUCAGGUCUGCCAAGUCAAAAGACUCAAAAUCAGCAUGGAAGGUACUCAUCAUGGAUAAACUAACUGUUAAAAUAAUGUCAUAUGCUUGCAAGAUGGCAGAUAUCACAGAGGAAGGAGUUUCAUUGGUUGAAGACAUAUACAAGCGUCGGCAGCCGCUCCCAUCAAUGGAUGCGAUAUACUUCAUCCAACCAACAAAAGAGAAUGUAUUGAUGUUUCUAUCUGACAUGGCUGGGAAAUCACCUUUGUACAGAAAGGCAUUUGUUUUCUUUAGUUCACCUAUUGCUAAAGAGUUGGUUAAUCACAUAAAGAAGGAUUCAAGUGUUCUGUCACGCAUUGGUGCCUUGAGAGAAAUGAAUUUGGAGUUUUUUGCUAUUGACAGCCAGGGUUUUACCAC
Molecule: unclassified non-coding RNA, 526 nt
Filed under: Hevea brasiliensis (rubber tree)
Lineage: Eukaryota; Viridiplantae; Streptophyta; Magnoliopsida; Malpighiales; Euphorbiaceae
Source: RNAcentral